UCGAGUCUAAAUUUAUGUUGAGUUUUAACU
RNAcentral lists this non-coding RNA (30 nucleotides) under Rattus norvegicus (Norway rat). The record is from RNAcentral. Lineage: Eukaryota; Metazoa; Chordata; Mammalia; Rodentia; Muridae.